UGCGCAGGCGGUUUGCUAAGACAGGUGUGAAAUCCCCGGGCUUAACCUGGGAACUGCGCCUGUAACUGGCAAGCUAGAGUGUGGCAGAGGGGGGUGGAAUUCCAAGUGUAGCAGUGAAAUGCGUAGAUAUUUGGAGGAACACCAGUGGCGAAGGCGACAUACUGGUCCGUUACUGACGCUGAGGCUCGAAAGCGUGGGGAGCAAACA
Molecule: ribosomal RNA, 207 nt
Filed under: uncultured bacterium
Lineage: Bacteria
Description: partial 16S ribosomal RNA
Rfam family: Bacterial small subunit ribosomal RNA
Source: RNAcentral